ACUCCUACGGGAGGCAGCAGUGGGGAAUAUUGCACAAUGGGCGCAAGCCUGAUGCAGCCAUGCCGCGUGUAUGAAGAAAGGCCUUCGGGUUGUAAAGUACUUUCAGCAGUGAGGAAGGCGGAUACGUUAAUAGCGUAUUCGUUUGACGUUAGCUGCAGAAGAAGCACCGGCUAACUCCGUGCCAGCAGCCGCGGUAAUACGGAGGGUGCGAGCGUUAAUCGGAAUUACUGGGCGUAAAGCGCAUGCAGGUGGUGUGUUAAGUCAGAUGUGAAAGCCCGGGGCUCAACCUCGGAAUAGCAUUUGAAACUGGCACACUAGAGUACUGUAGAGGGGGGUAGAAUUUCAGGUGUAGCGGUGAAAUGCGUAGAGAUCUGAAGGAAUACCAGUGGCGAAGGCGGCCCCCUGGACAGAUACUGACACUCAGAUGCGAAAGCGUGGGGAGCAAACAGGAUUAGAUACCCUGGUAGGAUAGCG
This 474-nucleotide ribosomal RNA is filed under the name uncultured bacterium. RNAcentral describes it as "bacterial SSU rRNA". It matches the Rfam family "Bacterial small subunit ribosomal RNA", at positions 335 to 799 of the family's 1533-position model. The record is from RNAcentral.